AGGGUUCGAUUCUGGCUCAGGACGAACGCUGGCGGCGCGCCUAACACAUGCAAGUCGAACGAGCGAGAGAGAGCUUGCUUUCUCAAGCGAGUGGCGAACGGGUGAGUAACGCGUGAGGAACCUGCCUCAAAGAGGGGGACAACAGUUGGAAACGACUGCUAAUACCGCAUAAGCCCACGACCCGGCAUCGGGUAGAGGGAAAAGGAGCAAUCCGCUUUGAGAUGGCCUCGCGUCCGAUUAGCUAGUUGGUGAGGUAAUGGCCCACCAAGGCGACGAUCGGUAGCCGGACUGAGAGGUUGAACGGUCACAUUGGGACUGAGACACGGCCCAG
This 331-nucleotide ribosomal RNA is filed under the name uncultured bacterium. Its description in RNAcentral is "bacterial SSU rRNA". It matches the Rfam family "Bacterial small subunit ribosomal RNA", at positions 8 to 334 of the family's 1533-position model. The record is from RNAcentral.